This 583-nucleotide non-coding RNA is filed under the name Alloiococcus otitis ATCC 51267. Its description in RNAcentral is "Bacterial large subunit ribosomal RNA". It matches the Rfam family "Bacterial large subunit ribosomal RNA", at positions 1 to 585 of the family's 2925-position model. The record is from Rfam by way of RNAcentral. Lineage: Bacteria; Bacillati; Bacillota; Bacilli; Lactobacillales; Carnobacteriaceae.
NNNNNNNNNNNNNNNNGCGUACGGUGAAUGCCUUGGCACUAGGAGCCGAUGAAGGACGGAACGAACACCGAUAUGCUUCGGGGAGCUGUAAGUAAGCUUUGAUCCGGAGAUGUCCGAAUGGGGCAACCUCCCAUCUUUAGUCGGAUGGGACUAGGAAAGUGAAUCCAUAGCUUUCUUAGGGGAAGACGCGGUGAACUGAAACAUCUCAGUAGCUGUAGGAAGAGAAAACAAGAGUGAUUUCCCUAGUAGCGGCGAGCGAACGGGAAAGAGGCCAAACAGACAUGCUUGCAUGUCUGGGUUGUAGGACUCAAUGUCGGGAUUGGCCGUUUAAGGUGAACACCCUGGAAAGGGUGGCCAGAGCAGGUGAUAGCCCUGUAACCGACCGAGCGGUCGGCCCAUGAGGAUCCUGAGUACGACGGCACACGUGCUAUGCCGUCGGAAGCCGGGAGGACCAUCUCCCAAGCCUAAAUACUCCCUAGUGACCGAUAGUGAACCAGUACCGUGAGGGAAAGGUGAAAAGAACCCCGGGAGGGGAGUGAAAGAGCACCUGAAACCGUAUGCUUACAAGUAGUCAGAGCCCGUU